RNAcentral lists this ribosomal RNA (279 nucleotides) under uncultured bacterium. Its description in RNAcentral is "partial 16S ribosomal RNA". It matches the Rfam family "Bacterial small subunit ribosomal RNA", at positions 506 to 784 of the family's 1533-position model. The record is from RNAcentral.
UGCCAGCAGCCGCGGUAAUACAGAGGGUGCGAGCGUUAAUCGGAGUUACUGGGCGUAAAGGGCGCGUAGGCGGUUAAUUAAGUCAGUUGUGAAACCCCAGGGCUUAACCUUGGACGUGCAAUUGAUACUGUUUAACUAGAGUCGAAGAGAGGGAAGCGGAAUUUCCGGUGUAGCGGUGAAAUGCGUAGAUAUCGGAAGGAACACCCGUGGCGAAGGCGGCUUCCUGGCUUCAGACUGACGCUGAGACGCGAAAGCGUGGGGAGCAAACAGGAUUAGAUA